Molecule: ribosomal RNA, 497 nt
Filed under: uncultured bacterium
Lineage: Bacteria
Description: partial 16S ribosomal RNA
Rfam family: Bacterial small subunit ribosomal RNA
Source: RNAcentral
GAUGAACGCUGGCGGCGUGCCUAAUACAUGCAAGUCGAGCGAACAGAUGAGGAUUUUUCUCCUCUGACGUUAGCGGCGGACGGGUGAGUAACACGUGUAUAACCUACCUAUAAGACUGGGAUAACUUCGGGAAACCGGAGCUAAUACCGGAUAAUAUAUUGAACCGCAUGGUUCAAUAGUGAAAGACGGUUUUGCUGUCACUUAUAGAUGGAUCCGCGCCGCAUUAGCUAGUUGGUAAGGUAACGGCUUACCAAGGCAACGAUGCGUAGCCGACCUGAGAGGGUGAUCGGCCACACUGGAACUGAGACACGGUCCAGACUCCUACGGGAGGCAGCAGUCGGGAAUCUUCCGCAAUGGGCGAAAGCCUGACGGAGCAACGCCGCGUGAGUGAUGAAGGUCUUCGGAUCGUAAAACUCUGUUAUUAGGGAAGAACAAAUGUGUAAGUAACUAUGCACGUCUUGACGGUACCUAAUCAGAAAGCCACGGCUAACUACGUG